RNAcentral lists this ribosomal RNA (239 nucleotides) under uncultured bacterium. RNAcentral describes it as "partial 16S ribosomal RNA". It matches the Rfam family "Bacterial small subunit ribosomal RNA", at positions 100 to 334 of the family's 1533-position model. The record is from RNAcentral.
CCGGCACGGGUGAGUAACACGUAUCCAACCUGCCGUCUACUCUUGGACAGCCUUCUGAAAGGAAAGAUUAAAUACAAGAUGGCAUCAUGAGUUCACAUGUUCACAUGAUUAAAGGUAUUCCGGUAGACGAUGGGGAUGCGUUCCAUUAGAUAGUAGGCGGGGUAACGGCCCACCUAGUCUUCGAUGGAUAGGGGUUCUGAGAGGAAGGUCCCCCACAUUGGAACUGAGACACGGUCCAA